Molecule: ribosomal RNA, 497 nt
Filed under: uncultured bacterium
Lineage: Bacteria
Description: partial 16S ribosomal RNA
Rfam family: Bacterial small subunit ribosomal RNA
Source: RNAcentral
GAUGAACGCUGGCGGCGUGCCUAAUACAUGCAAGUCGAGCGAACAGACGAGGAGCUUGCUCCUCUGACGUUAGCGGCGGACGGGUGAGUAACACGUGGAUAACCUCCCUAUAAGACUGGGAUAACUUCGGGAAACCGGAGCUAAUACCGGAUAAUAUAUUUAACCGCAUGGUUCAAUAGUGAAAGACGGUUUUGCUGUCACUUAUAGAUGGAUCCGCGCCGCAUUAGCUAGUUGGUAAGGUAACGGCUUACCAAGGCAACGAUGCGUAGCCGACCUGAGAGGGGGAUCGGCCACACGGGAACUGAGACAAGGGCCAGACUCCUACGGGAGGCAGCAGGAGGGAAUCGGCCGCAAUGGGCGAAAGCCGGACGGAGCAACGCCGCGUGAGUGAUGAAGGUCUUCGGAGCGGAAAACUCUGUUAGUAGGGAAGAACAAAUGUGGAAGUAACUAUGCACGUCUUGACGGUACCUAAUCAGAAAGCCACGGCUAACUACGUG